Molecule: ribosomal RNA, 253 nt
Filed under: uncultured bacterium
Lineage: Bacteria
Description: partial 16S ribosomal RNA
Rfam family: Bacterial small subunit ribosomal RNA
Source: RNAcentral
UACGUAGGGUGCGAGCGUUGCCCGGAUUUAUUGGGCGUAAAGGGCGCGUAGGCGGCUCGGCACGUCCGUUGUGAAAUCGCCCGGCUCAACUGGGCGGGGUCAGCGGAUACGGUCGAGCUUGAGCAAGCUAGGGGGUAAUGGAAUUCCCGGUGUAGUGGUGGAAUGCGUAGAUAUCGGGAGGAACACCAGUGGCGAAGGCGGGGUCCUGGGCCAGUACUGACGCUGAGGAGCGAAAGCGUGGGGAGCAAACAGG